UACGUAGGGUGCAAGCGUUGUCCGGAAUUAUUGGGCGUAAAGGCUCGUAGGCGGCCAACUAAGUCCGACGUGAAAUCCCAAGGCUUAACCUUGGAACUGCGUCGGAUACUGGAUGGCUUGAAUUCGGGAGAGGAUGCAGAAUUCCAGGUGUAGCGGUGAAAUGCGUAGAUAUCUGGAGGAAUACCGGUGGCGAAGGCGGCAUCCUGGACCGACAUUGACGCUGAUGAGCGAAAGCUAGGGGAGCAAACGGGG
RNAcentral lists this ribosomal RNA (252 nucleotides) under uncultured bacterium. RNAcentral describes it as "partial 16S ribosomal RNA". It matches the Rfam family "Bacterial small subunit ribosomal RNA", at positions 524 to 777 of the family's 1533-position model. The record is from RNAcentral.